Arabidopsis thaliana (thale cress) is the source of this 84-nucleotide small nucleolar RNA. NCBI's taxonomy places the organism in Eukaryota, Viridiplantae, Streptophyta, Magnoliopsida, Brassicales, Brassicaceae. The record is from RefSeq.
AGAGAUUGAUGAAAUCAAAUACAUCGAUCGCUAGUGUCUUGAAGACGCGAUGAGCGUCGAUUUUCCACACGAGAUUUCUGACUC